AUGAUUACUAGUUUAGAACUUUAUUUCUCUUCAAAUAUCACUUUUAAAAGUAUUCCCUGGCAGUUUGAAUCGCGGUGCGACGAAGGAGUAGGUGGUGGGAUCUCACCGUGGGUCCCAUUAGCCUUUUCUCUGCCUUGCUUGCUUGAGCUUCAGCGGAAUUCAAAAUGGCUGGCGGGUAAGGCUGGAAAGGACUCCGGAAAGGCCAAGACAAAGGCGGUUUCCCGCUCGCAGAGAGCCGGCUUGCAGUUCCCAGUGGGCCGUAUUCAUCGACACCUGAAAUAUAGGACGACCAGUCAUGGACGUGUGGGCGCGACUGCCGCUGUGUACAGCGCAGCCAUCCUGGAGUACCUCACCGCAGAGGUACUUGAACUGGCAGGAAACGCAUCAAAAGACUUAAAGGUAAAGCGUAUUACCCCCUCGUCACUUGCAACUUGCUAUUCGUGGAGAUGAAGAAUUGGAUUCUCUCAUCAAAGCUACAAUUGCUGGUGGUGGUGUCAUUCCACACAUCCACAAAUCUCUGAUUGGGAAGAAAGGACAACAGAAGACUGUCUAAAGGAUGCCUGGAUUCCUUGUUAUCUCAG
Nomascus leucogenys (northern white-cheeked gibbon) is the source of this 581-nucleotide RNA transcript. It is a transcript of the gene named histone H2A.Z pseudogene, with no coding region annotated. The record is from RefSeq and is a predicted model, not a curated record. Lineage: Eukaryota; Metazoa; Chordata; Mammalia; Primates; Hylobatidae. The transcript has a single exon.